This 440-nucleotide ribosomal RNA is filed under the name uncultured bacterium. RNAcentral's name for it is "partial 16S ribosomal RNA". It matches the Rfam family "Bacterial small subunit ribosomal RNA", at positions 338 to 795 of the family's 1533-position model. The record is from RNAcentral.
CCUACGGGAGGCAGCAGUGGGGAAUAUUGCACAAUGGGGGAAACCCUGAUGCAGCAACGCCGCGUGAGUGAAGAAGUAUUUCGGUAUGUAAAGCUCUUUUUGCAGGGAAGAAGAUGACGGUACCUGAAUAAGAAGCCCCGGCUAACUACGUGCCAGCAGCGGCGGUAAUACGUAGGGGGCAAGCGUUAUCCGGCUUCACUGGGUGUAAAGGGAGCGCAGACGGGAGUGCAAGUCAGGAGUGAAAGCCCGCGGCCCAACCCCGGAACUGCUCUGGAAACUGGGCGGCUAGAGUACUGGAGAGGCAGGCGGAAUUCCUGGUGUAGCGGUGAAAUGCGUAGAUAUUAGGAGGAACACCAAUGGCGAAGGCGGCCUGCUAGACAGUAACUGACGUUGAGGCUCGAAAGCGUGGGGAGCAAACAGGAUUAGAUACCCUUGUAGUC